UUAGUAUAAACAUUAUACAAUAAUAAAUUUUUAGAAAGAAACCUCUUUUUUUCCUUUUUUUUAAAAGUUUGCUUAUUUAUUUGUUUAUUUAGAGAAGGAAUCCCAAGCAGGCUCUGCAUUGUCAGCGCGGAGCCUGAUGCAGGGCUCAAAUUCACAAACCAUGAGAUCACGACCUGAGCUGAAACCAAGAGUUAGAUGCUUAACCAACUGAGCCACUCAGGUGCCCCAAGAAAGAAAUGUUUUGAAAAUCUUCAUAAUUUAAAAAAUCUUAAAAAUCUUCAUAAUUUAAGUGAAGAAAAGUUGAUGUCUCAUAUUUCAACACAAUUGCCAUAGUACACAGCAGAGAAAAACAAAUCUAUGAAGAUCUUGUGUUUCCUUUUAGAUUAUUGAAGGAAUUUUGAUGGCAAUGUUAAUAAUAAAAAUUAAUAGUACUGUAUUUUUAGCAAGCAUCUAUAGCACUACCAGGGAUUGUUCUAAGUGCUUUACAAGAGGUAGUUAUUAUUACUGUUCUAUUUUA
This is a long non-coding RNA of Neofelis nebulosa (Clouded leopard), 517 nucleotides long. RefSeq lists it as uncharacterized. The transcript has 2 exons. NCBI's taxonomy places the organism in Eukaryota, Metazoa, Chordata, Mammalia, Carnivora, Felidae. The record is from RefSeq and is a predicted model, not a curated record.